GCGCACGGGUGAGUAACACGUGAAUAACCUACCCUGGAGUGGGGGAUAACUGGGAGAAAUCCUAGGUGAAUACCGCAUAAUACCUACGGGUCAAAGGAGCAAUUCGCUCUGGGAGGGGGUCGCGGCCGAUUAGUUAGUUGGCGGGGUAAUGGCCCACCAAGACGAUGAUCGGUAUCCGGCCUGAGAGGGCGCACGGACACACUGGAACUGAAACACGGUCCAGACUCCUACGGGAGGCAGCAGUGGGGAAUUUUGCGCAAUGGGGGAAACCCUGACGCAGCAACGCCGCGUGGAGGAUGAAGUCCUUCGGGACGUAAACUCCUUUCGAUCGGGACGAUUAUGACGGUACCGGAAGAAGAAGCCCCGGCUAACUUCGUGCCAGCAGCCGCGGUAAUACGAGGGGGGCGAGCGUUGUUCGGAAUUAUUGGGCGUAAAGGGUGCGUAAGCCGGUUUGGUAAGUCUGAUGUGAAAUCUAUGGGCUCAACUCAUAGUCUGCAUCGGAAACUGCCGGGCUCGAGUAUGGGAGAGGUGAGUGGAAUUCCUGGUGUAGCGGUGAAAU
RNAcentral lists this ribosomal RNA (559 nucleotides) under uncultured bacterium. RNAcentral's name for it is "bacterial SSU rRNA". It matches the Rfam family "Bacterial small subunit ribosomal RNA", at positions 98 to 687 of the family's 1533-position model. The record is from RNAcentral.